This 461-nucleotide ribosomal RNA is filed under the name uncultured bacterium. RNAcentral's name for it is "partial 16S ribosomal RNA". It matches the Rfam family "Bacterial small subunit ribosomal RNA", at positions 29 to 507 of the family's 1533-position model. The record is from RNAcentral.
ACGAACGCUGGCGGCGUGCUUAACACAUGCAAGUCGAACGGUAAGGCCCUUCGGGGUACACGAGUGGCGAACGGGUGAGUAACACGUGGGUGAUCUGCCCUGCACUUUGGGAUAAGCCUGGGAAACUGGGUCUAAUACCGAAUAUGACUACAGGCUGCAUGGUCUGUGGUGGAAAGCUUUUGCGGUGUGGGAUGGGCCCGCGGCCUAUCAGCUUGUUGGUGGGGUGAUGGCCUACCAAGGCGACGACGGGUAGCCGGCCUGAGAGGGUGACCGGCCACACUGGGACUGAGAUACGGCCCAGACUCCUACGGGAGGCAGCAGUGGGGAAUAUUGCACAAUGGGCGCAAGCCUGAUGCAGCGACGCCGCGUGAGGGACGACGGCCUUCGGGUUGUAAACCUCUUUCAGCACAGACGAAGCGCAAGUGACGGUAUGUGCAGAAGAAGGACCGGCCAACUACGUG